CAGGGGGUGUCGGGCCUGGCUAUGGCAGCAUCGCUGGUGGAGGCUAUUCAGGAUAUACAGGGGCCGGACAAAAAUCCAAAGCACAGAAGGCAGCCAAAUAUGCAGCCAUGCAGGCCAUACUAGGAGGCGGGGGAUACAGAGGUGCUGGCUGUCAGGGUAAAUACUGUGGCCGAAGGAGGAAGUGAGAGACCAACAAACAGGAAGUGACCUCAUUAAAACAACAGUGGUGCUAUCGAAUGAUCCCAGAUUGUAAAUGUCUUACCUGCCAUAGAAGCUAAAGCCUCAACACAUUCCACAUAUUAAUUUCACACAAUCAUUUCUUUCAAAAAGAGCAGUGGUUCUGGGCCUGUUAGAGAUGAUUCCUUAAAACAAGGUGAUGCCUCUGUUGCAGUCUGAUACACAGAGUGGUAAAAUAUAUCCUUGUCAUGUUGUUUUAUGGAUAAUUCGGUGACGUGACUUUGGUUAAAUGAAAAUAUUCACCGUUUUACAAGAAAAGCGCGUUAGAUUAAGACAACAUGGGGAAACAUUUGUUAAAAUAACAUUUUCACCCCUGAAUCUCCCUGUGAUCCUGACUACCAGGCUGAGAAUCACUGAAAUAUAGAUUUAAGAGGUCUUUUUAAAUUGUGAGGCCAAGCUGUACUAUAAUACACUUUUUUGUUUAUUUCUGUUGUUGUGUUCCUGUGCAAGUAUCACCAUGAAUCCUCUGGGUGAAGACUGAUACCAAGGACACCCUCAGGGCAGCUCCUUCAGACCUGUCUGCAUGCUGACACAAUGUUUGUUUGUUUUUUUUACUCUCAAAGGCCACAUUUUAAUCCAGUCCAUUGGAUUAUACCUUAGGUCUGCAGAGUGUAAUGUUUGUUUUAUUAAUCUACUGUUUUAUUAAUUACUGUUUUAUUUUAUUAAUUUAGCUUUUACAUCAGUGCAAACAGUUGGAUAUUAUGUCCAGCAAUCUGUACAGACAACGAAGCACACGAAUGCUAUUCUGGGGGAACCGCAGACAAAAGGAACUCCAAGUGGAAUUUUUUUGAUGGUGUGGUGUUUUGACUGGUCUUUAUCUGGUCCUCGAGAAGCAGCCUUUGCUCAUUUAAACUGUGCUCAGGUCUCAGCAGUAUCAACAAAUGGAGGCUGAAGGUCCACAGCUGUGAGAUUCUUCCAUUCCAUUCACAACAUUAUAGGCACUGUCUUACAGCUGCAACACAGUAAUUGGUAUUGGUGUGAACUUUUGGUUAACAUGCUUAUUUUUUCAUUACCAGAAUGAUGUAUUGUUAUGAUAUUAUGGUGUGGCUUAGGUUUGGCUUUUACAUUUGCUGUUGUGGAAAGCAUUCAAACUAAAUGUGAGGUAAUAUGAAUACAUGAUAGUGCUUUUAAAUGACAUCUGAGGAGCAUUGAUUACUGUGUUUUUCUUUUUUUUGGAUGUACCUCCUUUAACACUGUAGGAAAUUUGUUCACGAUUGCUAGUCUUUUUAAAUUAUGCUGACAAAAAGCAGAAAAAGCUCAACUAUUUAUCCUCAGUCUCAUUUUAUGAAUUCAAGUGCAUUAACGCAGCAUUAAAUAUUUGAGUUAUUUUGUUUGUGUUUGAGUUUUAACAGUUUUUAAACUUGUGUACUACUAUGCUAAAGAUAAGUGUUUUGUUUUCUACAUUGUCCUUGCAUGUGUGCAGAAUCACAGUGUAAUCUGCGAUGUCAUUUGGAUAAAAAAUGUAAAAAAUGAGUUUCAUCUUGCAUCUGAGCUUAUGCUUCUGUCUCUAUUGAGCAGUUUAACAUGUGCUUUAUGUGGCCUAUCAAGAAAAUGAUGCACUUUUGUACACUUUCAGACAUUGCUCUUUAAAAUUAAAAAAUGAC
Molecule: long non-coding RNA, 1841 nt
Organism: Scatophagus argus
Lineage: Eukaryota; Metazoa; Chordata; Actinopteri; Scatophagidae
Exons: 4
Source: RefSeq, a predicted model, not a curated record